CGCAGAGUGACGGAGGCGCGAGCCUCUGGUAAUGCGGGCGCCCGGUCACAACCCCGG
Molecule: non-coding RNA, 57 nt
Submitted as: unclassified sequences
Source: Rfam